GACCUGAUAGGGGAGAAAGCACAAAAAAAAACUCCCGGAAAGAAGCUGAAUUAGUCAUGUGCAUUAAUAAAACUUGAAUUAUGGUUUAAGAAGCAUAUCUUCCUAAAUGAAAUGAAAUUAGAAGAUUACCAUCUUUAUCUGCAUGAACUCUGCAAGAACUUUUGUGUUUUAAGGCUUUUACUGUUGUAGGAUAUUAGAAAUAAACUGACAACCCGGUUCAUAAAAUUAACAAAAAUGCAUAUAGUGUACACCAAAAUACAGCCAUGAUUCUGAAACUGUGUAAUCAAUAAAGUAAUGACCAGUGCUGUAGUAGUAAAAUUAGAGGUGGGUAAACUGAAUUUUGUGAUCAUGCAGACCUCGAUGCGAUGCGAAGCAACGCAACACAAAGCGUUGCGACUCUGUAAGGCUGUCCUGGCUAUAUUGCAUUAUGUUAUCAGUAAAAGUCAUAUACAAUCAAUGACAAUGAAAACAUGUGUUAGUAGUUUGUAGUUUAUUAAAUUUAAGAAAACAGUAAAGAAAAGUAUGUCAACACAACAACACAAUUGCAGAUUAAGAACUAUCUACAUAUGGAGUCUCCUUUUUACAGUAGUGCCCAGAGGGCCUCCUUGUCCUCCACGUCAGGUCCUGCCUUGCUCUGUGCUUCUCUCUCUAUUUGACCUGGUGUUUCUCCUCUCCCUGUGCUCUCUGCAUCAUUGCUGGUGUUUUAAAAUUACACGAAGUUUAUUUCGGAUUAUUCCAACGGAAGAAUACAAGGCGCAGGGAACUUUGAGGUGCGUAAACGCUAUUUCCAAAUUCUAGAGGUGCGUAAACGGUGUUUACAUGCGUUUACCCUCCACUACAGCCCUGGUAAUGACAAUAUUGUAAAACCACUGUAAUUCUGCAACUUUAAUAGCAUAAUACCAAUGUACAGUUAUGAUUGUAUUUGAUGUAAUGUAAUCAACUGGAAUGCAUGCAUGUAAUACUUGAACAACAACUGAUAGACAUUAGAUUGACUGAGAGACAUUCGAAAUCCGAGUUACAGUGAACUCACCAGAAGAC
Gasterosteus aculeatus aculeatus (three-spined stickleback) is the source of this 1038-nucleotide long non-coding RNA. The record is from Ensembl. NCBI's taxonomy places the organism in Eukaryota, Metazoa, Chordata, Actinopteri, Perciformes, Gasterosteidae.